UAACCUAUCUAGCAAUAGAUAGCUGAACAACCAGAAGUCAGCAGAGGUCAUAGUACCUUACCUACUCGAGAUGGUAAGGGAAGGGC
Molecule: non-coding RNA, 86 nt
Organism: Bacillus sp. 2_A_57_CT2
Lineage: Bacteria; Bacillati; Bacillota; Bacilli; Caryophanales; Bacillaceae
Source: Rfam